Molecule: ribosomal RNA, 218 nt
Filed under: uncultured bacterium
Lineage: Bacteria
Description: partial 16S ribosomal RNA
Rfam family: Bacterial small subunit ribosomal RNA
Source: RNAcentral
UACGGUAGGGUGCGAGCGUUGUCCGGAAUUAUUGGGCGUAAAGAGCGCGUAGGCGGUCCGAUAAGUCGGCUGUGAAAGUCAGGGGCUCAACCCUUGGAAGCCGGCCGAUACUGUCGGACUAGAGUCCGGAAGAGGCGAGUGGAAUUCCCGGUGUAGCGGUGAAAUGCGCAGAUAUCGGGGAGGAACACCAAUGGCGAAAGGCAGCUCGCUGGGACGGU